GAGGGUCUAAGAUAAAGUUAUAUAGUCUGCGAAGUUGUCUACUUCGUUGUUUCGUUGGAAGGCCUUUU
This 68-nucleotide transfer RNA is filed under the name Botrylloides giganteus. Its description in RNAcentral is "tranfer RNA-Asp". The record is from RNAcentral. Lineage: Eukaryota; Metazoa; Chordata; Ascidiacea; Stolidobranchia; Styelidae.